This 3548-nucleotide long non-coding RNA is filed under the name Piliocolobus tephrosceles (Ugandan red Colobus). Its description in RNAcentral is "lncRNA (ENSPTEG00000002513.1)". Lineage: Eukaryota; Metazoa; Chordata; Mammalia; Primates; Cercopithecidae. The record is from RNAcentral.
ACCAUUAAAUAAAUAAUGAUAAAAAUAUAGACGUAACAAAAAAAAUAAAUAAACAUAUAAAUAAACGCACAUGAUAUAGUAGUAAUAACAGAAGUGGUAAAAAUAGCAUGUGUAAUAAUAAAAAUAGCACUUAUAGCAAUAACAUCCGUGACACACUAAAAAAAAUAUGUAUUUUGAAGAUAAUAACUUGAGAUGUCUUAAUGAAAAUUCUCUUAAAUUAUCUAAAAAAGCAUUAUCGGAAAAAGAAAUAGGUGAAUUAAUAAAUAAAUAUAAAAAAAAAAAAAUAUAUGAAUCUCAUUUUGACACUGAUAAGAACAUUAAUAAUAAAAGUCAUACAUAUAAAAAUAUUAGGAAAAAAUACAAUUUACUUGAUCAUAGUAACAGUAGCUAUAACAAGAACAUAUCACCUCUUAAUAAUAUAGUAGCACAAACUAAUAUACCCAAUAGUAGUAUAACCUAUAAUGAAAAUACUGAUAAUCAAAAUAAUAGUUAUAAACGUUUUUUGAUAGAUGAAUAUGAUAAACAAUACCAAACGGGUGAUACAAUUACUAAUAUACACUCGAAUUACUUUAAUAAUAAAUUAAAAAGUGGUAAAACUGUACUACCAUGUUCAUAUGAAAAAAAAUAUUUUUUUAAUAAUAGUAUAAGUAAAAAAAAUUCUAAUAAUCUUCAGUCACAAGAAAAGGAGCCUUUAUUUUGUAACAGCAGUCGUAGUCGCAUACAUAAUAACGGAAUAAGUGAUAAACUAAAAAUAAGUAAACCGAAAAAUAAUAAUAGUAGUAGUCGUAGUAGUAAUAGUCGUAGUAGUAGCUGCUUAUUCAAUCAUGAUCCAGGACCCAACAUAGACAAAACUAAUAGCGAAAUGAACAAUGAUUAUAAUUCGUAUACACCUGUAAAACAUGAUUAUACUAAGUACAUGCCGGUUAAAAGCAAUUACAACUAUAUAAAAAAUGACCUACUAAAUUUGUAUAAUUAUAAUAAAAAUCAUAUUAAUGAAAAACCAAUUGCCGAUGAUUAUAAUAAGUUAAUAAACAGUAAUAAUUUUAUAAAAAACAAAACAAAACAUACGAGUGAAAUAGGAAGAGCGGAAAUAUCAAGGCAAAACAAUUUUUAUAGCUAUAGUGAUAAAAAAAAUGAAAGUGAAACAGAAGAUUAUAUACAAACAAGAACAGAUGGUUUACGAAAUGAGUUAAAUAAUCCGAUAAAAAUUAAAAGCAUGUAUACGCAUUUUUUUAAUUUAACGGACAGAUUGGAAAAUAUUAAGAAUAAAAAAGAAAAUUUCACUUGUGGCUAUACCAGUAACAGUAAUUAUAUUAAUAAUGGUAACAAAAAACAGAAGAAAAAAAAAAGUAGUAUAAAAGAAGAUAUGUUAUGGAAAAAAAAGUUAUUUAACAGUACAACUACAAUUAAAGAUAAAAUAAAAGAGGAUGAAAUAUUAAACACUAAUAAAUAUAAUACUUAUUCAUAUAAUGGGCCAAAAUAUAUGAACAAUCUUACUGUUACUAGUACUAGUAGUACUAUUGUUCCGAAUAACUUACAUGUUAGCAAUGCACCAAAUAAAUAUAUAGAUGAAAUAGUUAAUUUAAAAAAGGGUCAUAUAAAUAAGUAUAAUGAUAAUAACACAGAAGGUGGUACAAGGAAUCGAAUUAUUUUCGAAAAUGAAAACGAAAUUAAUGCUUUGGACGAUUUGAAAAAAAUGAAAUCCAAUUUGUCUUUUAAUUAUGAAGACAAAAAAGGACUAUUUAAAAAUGCAAGAGAAAACGAAAAAAUGUAUAAAAGUGAAAAGGUUAAUAGUGACCUUCGUGAUAGCAACAGCAAUACCAUCCGUAAUAGUCUUAGUAAUAGCCUGAAUAAUAGUAGUAAUUAUUACAAACAUAACAAUUACAGUAGUAGUAAUACUAAUUAUAUUGAUAACAGAAGUAUGACUUCUAACAUGAUUAAAGGUACCCACUUACACAUGAGUGCUAUAUCUUGCGGUUCCAAUGACUAUUCUACUUUGUGUGAUUAUAAAAAUGAUUCUUCUCCACUAACAAAAAGUUAUAAUAGUAAUAUUGAACAGUUAAAGAGGUUAUCAAAAUAUAACAGUGUAAGUAGUAAUAAAAUAAACAAAUUGAAAGAGACCUCUAAUAAGGCUUCUGUUUUUAGUAAAAUAAAUUCAAAGAACUAUUAUAAUGAUAAUAAAAAUAAUAUUAAUUUUUCUACAUCAAAUAAUAUAUUAGAAUCAUCAUCAGGAAGGUAUAAUCCUGAUAUAGUAAAUUCUCAUUCGGAUGUUUUGUCACAAAAUAGUGUAAGUAAUAUAGAAAAAUAUAAUAGUAAACAGAAUACCACUAUUAAUCGAUCACGUAAUAUAUAUGAUAAUUACAGAGAUAGUAAUAACUUAUGUUUUAGUAACAUAUCAAAUAGUGGUAUUGAUAUGUGUGAUGAUGACGUUGUUUAUUUAGGAAUGAAUUAUCAAUUAGAUAAAAAGAAAGUACAAAACAAAGGUCAUAUUUUAAAUAAAAGAAACAGUGAAAAAACAGGAAACGCAAACCAUUUUAAUAUUUGUGAAUCCAGCGAUAAUUAUAAUAACAGUGCUAAUACUAUUCGAAGGGGAGAUACUCUUAGUAAUGACUUACGUGAAAAUAUAAAUAACAGUCGAAGUGAGUAUUAUAAAAAAAGAGCACAGACGAUGAAUAUAAAUUCGUUUAAAAAUGAUCUAUCAAAAGAUGACAAGUACGAUAGUGGUAUACAUAAAAGAAACACACAUAACAAUAUAGCACAGGAUACUGGGAUGUAUAACAAUAUAGCAAAUAACAAUGACAUGCACAACUUAAAAGAAAAUACGAAUUACUUUAAAAGCUUAAGUGAUAAUCACAUAGCAACACAAGAAGGGUAUAAAAUAUUAAAUAACAUUUUGCGGAAAAGUAAAACGUGUCGGAAUAAUGCUAAAAAUAUUUAUGAUAAUGAUGUAAAUGAAAAUGCCUAUACAAGGUACUUAUAUGAAAACGAAAAAAACAGAAAUUCUAAUGGCUAUAAUAAUAAUAAUAUAAAUAGAUAUAAUAAUAUUUAUAAUAGUAAUACCUAUUAUCCUAAUAUACAAAAAUAUGAUUAUUUAAAAAUAAACAGAAAUAACACAAGACCAAUGAAUAUUAGUGAAUUAAAUUGUGAUGUCAAUGAUGAAAAUGAUCAUGACCAUAAUCAAAAUGAUAAUUAUUAUGAUAGAGGAGAAAAUAGAUAUGAUAAUAGUGAUGAAAAUAAUAUAAAAAAUUAUGUUAAUUCAUUAAGUUUUAUUGAUAUAUUUGUUUUAAUUAUAAUUUAUUUUAUAAAAUUUUUAUAUUAUUUAUUUCGUAAUCUUUUUCAAUUUAUUUUAUUAUUUUUUAUUCAUUGUUAUCAUAAGUAUAGGACAAAUUCGUUUAAAACAUUUGCCUUUUCAGUUGGUAUUGCAGUCAUUUUUUUUUUUUUUAUCAUAUCAACUACUUUGCUCUCUUAUAGGAGUAUGAAUAUUGAAUAUUUUGAUAGAGAUAUAUAAAAAAAAUAAAAAAUAAAAAAAUAAAAAAAUAAAAUAAAGA